UACGUAGGUGGCAAGCGUUGUCCGGAAUUAUUGGGCGUAAAGCGCGCGCAGGCGGUCCUUUAAGUCUGAUGUGAAAGCCCACGGCUCAACCGUGGAGGGUCAUUGGAAACUGGGGGACUUGAGUACAGAAGAGAAGAGUGGAAUUCCACGUGUAGCGGUGAAAUGCGUAGAUAUCGGGAGGAACACCGGUGGCGAAGGCGGCUCUCUGGACCACUACUGACGCUGAGGCGCGAAAGCUAGGGGAGCAAACAGG
RNAcentral lists this ribosomal RNA (253 nucleotides) under uncultured bacterium. RNAcentral describes it as "partial 16S ribosomal RNA". It matches the Rfam family "Bacterial small subunit ribosomal RNA", at positions 524 to 776 of the family's 1533-position model. The record is from RNAcentral.